UACGUAGGGUGCAAGCGUUGUCCGGAAUUAUUGGGCGUAAAGAGCUCGUAGGCGGUUUGUCGCGUCGAAUGUGAAAACCCGGGGCUCAACCCCGGGCCUGCAUUCGAUACGGGCAGACUAGAGUUCGGUAGGGGAGUCUGGAAUUCCUGGUGUAGCGGUGAAAUGCGCAGAUAUCAGGAGGAACACCGGUGGCGAAGGCGGGACUCUGGGCCGAUACUAACGCUGAGGAGCGAAAGCGUGGGGAGCAAACAGG
This 253-nucleotide ribosomal RNA is filed under the name uncultured bacterium. Its description in RNAcentral is "partial 16S ribosomal RNA". It matches the Rfam family "Bacterial small subunit ribosomal RNA", at positions 524 to 776 of the family's 1533-position model. The record is from RNAcentral.